This 731-nucleotide unclassified non-coding RNA is filed under the name Homo sapiens (human). Its description in RNAcentral is "armadillo repeat containing 10 (ENSG00000282813.1)". Lineage: Eukaryota; Metazoa; Chordata; Mammalia; Primates; Hominidae. The record is from RNAcentral.
GCUAUUAUUCGUGAAUUGGGUGGUAUUCCAAUUGUUGCAAACAAAAUCAACCAUUCCAACCAGAGUAUUAAAGAGAAAGCUUUAAAUGCACUAAAUAACCUGAGUGUGAAUGUUGAAAAUCAAAUCAAGAUAAAGAUAUACAUCAGUCAAGUAUGUGAGGAUGUCUUCUCUGGUCCUCUGAACUCUGCUGUGCAGCUGGCUGGACUGACAUUGUUGACAAACAUGACUGUUACCAAUGACCACCAGCACAUGCUUCACAGUUACAUUACAGACCUGUUCCAGGUGUUACUUACUGGAAAUGGAAACACGAAGGUGCAAGUUUUGAAACUGCUUUUGAAUUUGUCUGAAAAUCCAGCCAUGACAGAAGGACUUCUCCGUGCCCAAGUGGAUUCAUCAUUCCUUUCCCUUUAUGACAGCCACGUAGCAAAGGAGAUUCUUCUUCGAGUACUUACGCUAUUUCAGAAUAUAAAGAACUGCCUCAAAAUAGAAGGCCAUUUAGCUGUGCAGCCUACUUUCACUGAAGGUUCAUUGUUUUUCCUGUUACAUGGAGAAGAAUGUGCCCAGAAAAUAAGAGCUUUAGUUGAUCACCAUGAUGCAGAGGUGAAGGAAAAGGUUGUAACAAUAAUACCCAAAAUCUGAUUGGUCAUAUUUUUCCAAAGAGUAAUGCAGUCUGGAUAUAAACGUAUUUUCUGUCUUCCUUAUAAGGGGAUUCUCCCAGCUGCUAAAUUUAA